This 506-nucleotide ribosomal RNA is filed under the name uncultured bacterium. Its description in RNAcentral is "partial 16S ribosomal RNA". It matches the Rfam family "Bacterial small subunit ribosomal RNA", at positions 29 to 523 of the family's 1533-position model. The record is from RNAcentral.
AUUGAACGCUGGCGGCAGGCCUAACACAUGCAAGUCGGACGGUAGCACAGAGGAGCUUGCUCCUUGGGUGACGAGUGGCGGACGGGUGAGUAAUGUCUGGGGAUCUGCCCGAUAGAGGGGGAUAACCACUGGAAACGGUGGCUAAUACCGCAUAACGUCGCAAGACCAAAGAGGGGGACCUUCGGGCCUCUCACUAUCGGAUGAACCCAGAUGGGAUUAGCUAGUAGGCGGGGUAAUGGCCCACCUAGGCGACGAUCCCUAGCUGGUCUGAGAGGAUGCACAGCCACACUGGAACUGAGACACGGUCCAGACUCCUACGGGAGGCAGCAGUGGGGAAUAUUGCACAAUGGGCGCAAGCCUGAUGCAGCCAUGCCGCGUGUAUGAAGAAGGCCUUCGGGUUGUAAAGUACUUUCAGCGGGGAGGAAGGCGAUGUGGUUAAUAACCGCAUCGAUUGACGUUACCCGCAGAAGAAGCACCGGCUAACUCCGUGCCAGCCGCCGCAGUAA